This 520-nucleotide ribosomal RNA is filed under the name uncultured Glomus. RNAcentral describes it as "SSU rRNA". It matches the Rfam family "Eukaryotic small subunit ribosomal RNA", at positions 569 to 1090 of the family's 1831-position model. Lineage: Eukaryota; Fungi; Glomeromycota; Glomeromycetes; Glomerales; Glomeraceae. The record is from RNAcentral.
AGCAGCCGCGGUAAUUCCAGCUCCAAUAGCGUAUAUUAAAGUUGUUGCAGUUAAAAAGCUCGUAGUUGAAUUUCGGGGUUAGUAGGUUGGUCAUGCCUCUGGUAUGUACUGGUCUCACUGAUUCCUCCUUCCUGAUGAGCCGUAAUGCCAUUAAUUUGGUGUUGCGGGGAAUUUGGACUGUUACUUUGAAAAAAUUAGAGUGUUUAAAGCAAGCUAACGCUUGAAUACAUUAGCAUGGAAUAAUGAAAUAGGACGUUCGAUCCUAUUUUGUUGGUUUCUAGGAUUGACGUAAUGAUUAAUAGGGAUAGUUGGGGGCAUUAGUAUUCAAUUGUCAGAGGUGAAAUUCUUGGAUUUAUUGAAGACUAACUACUGCGAAAGCAUUUGCCAAGGAUGUUUUCAUUAAUCAAGAACGAAAGUUAGGGGAUCGAAGACGAUCAGAUACCGUCGUAGUCUUAACCAUAAACUAUAGCCGACUAGGGAUCGGAUGAUGUAAUUUUUAAUGUACUCAUUCGGCGCCUUA